Non-coding RNA from Tachysurus vachellii, 1069 nucleotides. NCBI's taxonomy places the organism in Eukaryota, Metazoa, Chordata, Actinopteri, Siluriformes, Bagridae. The record is from the annotation of a RefSeq genome assembly.
AGAGCGGCUUGUACAGUGAAGUUGUGACCUGCAUAAAGCUGAGAUCUUCACAGUGGGGGGUCACGGUGGCUUAGUGGUUAGCACCUUCGCCUCACACCUCCAGGGUUGGGGGUUCGAUUCCCGCCUCCGCCUUGUGUGUGUGGAGUUUGCAUGUUCUCCCCGUGCCUCGGGGGUUUCCUCCGGGUACUCCGGUUUCCUCCCCUGGUCCAAAGACAUGCAUGGUAGGUUGAUUGGCAUCUCUGGAAAAUUGUCCGUAGUGUGUGAGUGCGUGAGUGAAUGAGAGUGUGUGUGCCCUGCGAUGGGUUGGCACUCCGUCCAGGGUGUAUCCUGCCUUGAUGCCCAAUGACGCCUGAGAUAGGCACAGGCUCCCCAUGAGGUUAAAUUAUGUAAACUCUGUCCCUGACUAUACAUCAAUAAAGCUGGAUGACUAGAGAGCAGCUCCCACCAGUACAGCUUCAGCUGUAACCAUGCUGCUUGUUUAUCUCCUAGUGUUGGACAUAUCUACGUCCUUUGUUUUUAGCGCAAUUGAUUUUACUCAGCCAGGGCAUGUGAUUGUCCGGCCUGGACAGACUUUGACCACUGGCUGUAAAGUGUCUGGUUACAGCUUGACUGAUAGCAGUUAUUGUACAAACUGGAUUCGACAUGCUACUGGGAAAAAUAUGCAGUGGAUUGGAUACAUUUGUAGUGAUGGAAGCACAGGGGGCACAGAGUCACUGAAAAACAGGUUCAGCAUCACUCAGGACACCUCCAGUAACACAGUGACCCUCCAUGGUCAAAAUGUGCAGAUGGAAGACACAGCUGUGUAUUAUUGUGUGCGCUACCAUAACACAGUGCUACAGAUCACUGAAGUGCCUGUACAAAAACCUCCUCAGAUCAGCCUCAUGACUUUUGUCAUCGUCCCAAUGUUCAUCAUCUGAUCUCUACAUUUAUCUCAUCCUUUACUGUCUCAGUCAUAUCAAUAUACUGGAAUUUCACAGUGUAGAGUGGCUUUUACAAACACUUUUUAUCAGUCUCCUUAUUUUAAAGAAGUGAGAUUUCAGGAAAUUCUGUAGUGAGAGUAGAGAGCAGG